CCACCACCAUGAUGGUGGGCAAGAGCAGCAAGAUGCUGCAGCACAUUAACUACAGGAUGAGGUGCAUCCUGCAAGAUGGCCGCAUCUUCAUCUGGACCUUCAAGGCCUUUGACAAGCACAUGAAUUUGAUCCUCUGUGACUGUAAUGAGUUCAGGAAGAUCAAGACAAAGAACUCCAAACAAGCAGAAAGGGAAGAGAAGCGAGUCCUUGGUCUGGUAUUGCUUCGAGGGGAGAACCUGAUCUCCAUGACAGUGGAAGGACCUCCUCCCAAAGAUACUGGCAUUGCUCGAUUGCCAUUUGCUGGAGCUACUGGGGGGCCAAGCAUUGGCAGGGCUGCUGACAGAUGAUUCCCGGAUGGUGUUCCCAGGCCCCAGGCUCCUGCAGGACUUGCUGGGCCAGUCCAAGGUGUUGGAGGGCCAUCCCAACAGGUGAUGACCCCACAAGGAAGAGGCACUGUUGUAGCUGCUGAAGCUGCAGCUACAGUCAGUAUUGCAGGAGCCCCAAUUCAGUACCCAUAGGGUCAUGGGGACCCUCCUCCACCUAUGGAACGAGGGGCCCCUCCUCCAGGUAUGAUGGGCCUACUUCCUGGCAUGAGGUCUUCCAUGGGUCCCCCAGUGGAGAUUCCACCUGGCAGAGGAACUCCAAUGAACAUGCCCCCUCCUGAGAUGCGACCUCCUCCUCCAUGCAUGCAAGGUCUGCUUUCAUCUUGGCACAGCAUUAUGUCAGUAGCUCCGAGGAGGAGACACGGACCCUUUCCCCCAGAAUCAGGUUACCACAGACCUGUUUGUUUGUUAUGCUGUUCAUAGAGUCUCGCUGGAUUGUCUGGUUUCCCUUUCAGGGCUCCCUCCCUGA
Mastomys coucha (southern multimammate mouse) is the source of this 852-nucleotide RNA transcript. It is a transcript of the gene named small nuclear ribonucleoprotein-associated protein B-like, with no coding region annotated. The record is from RefSeq and is a predicted model, not a curated record. The transcript has a single exon. Lineage: Eukaryota; Metazoa; Chordata; Mammalia; Rodentia; Muridae.